CCUUUUCCCAAUAGAAGAAUGUAAUGUGGUAAUGAUCCAAUUCAGAUCGUAGGCCUCCAGAGACUUCUCAGACUUCCAGUCUCCUCUGGAACCCUGUCAGUGCCGAUCUGACCAAGUCCGGGCUGUCCUGCUGGAAGAGUAAGAGACCAAAUGGAGCCGAGCUCCAUUCGUCCCAGUUACGGCCAUCGCACACCAGCCAGCCCCCGCCGAUGCUCCAGCUGACCACAGAGACACUCGCGCACCGACCGGAGAGGGGGUCAGGCAUCAGAUUUGAAUCUCCUGUUUGUGGUCUCCCUGCUCACACACAGCACCUCAGGCGUCCAGUGGGUCUUGUGUGUCUGGCAACAGUAGGCCACGUUCCAGUGUUCACUUUCUGCUGCGCUGGUGGCUGACUGUCUCACUGUGAUGACCUCUUCAAAGAAAAGUUUACACAGGUUGCCAGACUUUGAGCUUCUCCAGGACAGAAAUGAAUGCUAGUGCAUCUAUGAAUCGUGGCCAUGACAAACACCUGGGAAAAGUUUGUAGAACUGAACUUGAAAUGCAUCUGACAACUUUUAAAGCUGCAUGUCCAUCUUAGGUCCUAUGUGUCCAUAGAAGAACGAAAAGUAGCUGCAGAAAUAAAGAUCCUAUUCUGUCUAAAGAAUUUUCUAACAAAUAGAAUUGCCUGAAGAUGUAAGCAGGGGUCUCAGGAAGUUGAGUGUCCCUUUUAGGGGAAGACUUAGGGCCCAAGCAAAUGAUCACGUGUCAGGGAAAUUGAGAAAGAUAUUUAUGUACUGACCUAGAUGCCUUCCCAAAUGUUAUUACGAUACUUUGAUUCUGUGAACUCAACCACAGGAGACAAAGUCACUGUACCUAAACCAGGCAUCCCAAAGCACCAUGGCAAGGAGAAAUAACCACAGCAAUACAGCCAAAGCUCCUGCUGGCCAUAUCUAAACACACACCUUGAUGUGACCCUAGCCUUUCCUGUCCUAGGGGUGCUGGCCACUGAAGAUGAAUUAAAGCACACCCUUACCUCCACAGCAGUACCUUCCUGUUUGCAGACCGAAAUAUGCCCAACUUGGAAUCUCCUAAUUGUUUCAUCCUAAGAUAUAAGACAUCAUUUAACCACAUCCAGUGUACAAUCAAUAAACUAAAACUGUAAGCUAUUUGAA
Long non-coding RNA from Hyaena hyaena (striped hyena), 1151 nucleotides. RefSeq lists it as uncharacterized. The record is from RefSeq and is a predicted model, not a curated record. Lineage: Eukaryota; Metazoa; Chordata; Mammalia; Carnivora; Hyaenidae. The transcript has 3 exons.